This 253-nucleotide unclassified non-coding RNA is filed under the name Pirellulimonas sp. RNAcentral describes it as "partial 16S ribosomal RNA". It matches the Rfam family "Bacterial small subunit ribosomal RNA", at positions 524 to 776 of the family's 1533-position model. Lineage: Bacteria; Pseudomonadati; Planctomycetota; Planctomycetia; Pirellulales; Lacipirellulaceae. RNAcentral also lists the same sequence under 1 other name. The record is from RNAcentral.
UACGAACCGGACAAACGUUAUUCGGAAUCAUUGGGCUUAAAGGGUGCGUAGGCGGCCGCGUAAGUCGGGUGUGAAAUCCCUCGGCUCAACCGAGGAAUUGCGCCCGAUACUGCGUGGCUAGAGGGAGACAGAGGCGAGCGGAACUGAUGGUGGAGCGGUGAAAUGCGUUGAUAUCAUCAGGAACACCGGUGGCGAAGGCGGCUCGCUGGGUCUCUUCUGACGCUCAGGCACGAAAGCUAGGGUAGCGAACAGG